Molecule: long non-coding RNA, 1423 nt
Organism: Lolium rigidum
Lineage: Eukaryota; Viridiplantae; Streptophyta; Magnoliopsida; Poales; Poaceae
Exons: 3
Source: RefSeq, a predicted model, not a curated record
UGUGCCCGUCGGUCGGUGGCGUCAUCUUCUGACAUGGCGCCAUAGGCUUCAGCUGGCCGCCACUGCUGGAAAAGUAGUACGAGGAGGAGGGGGGAGGGUACGAGUCUCCUGCAACCGACGGAUUUCUCCGUCCCCCGGAAUAUUCCCGCAUCGAGGGGAUGGACCCAAGUGGUGGCGAACAACAAGGGGUGCAGCGCAUCCAUGGAUAGGGUGACGCCGAAGGAUUCUGUCGCCGCUGCCCCUACACCAGGCGCCGGCUCCUCCCUCCCCACCGGUGUAGGCCACCUCGUCGGCAGCUCCGUCCUCACCGGCUCAGCCGCCUAGACGAGAUAAGGUGCUUCUGGCCUCCCCUCCUCCUCUCCCUCUCCCGUCACAUUUUCUAUGCCUUCCAGUACAAUUCCCUUUCCUAUUCAUGCACAAAUUAUAUUGUUCUUAAUUUCAGUUAUUUGGUUGCAUAGCUCAUUGUUUUUACUUGUUGACAGUGGGAUUGGUCGGCUACCUAUCGAUUGUUCGUGGUUUUUGAUUGCUCUGGUUUUACCCCCAAAAAGUGUAAUGCUCUUUUAUUUUGAUUUUCGAAUUGUGUUUGAUGCAAACGUGAGUUUUACUCGUACAGGGAACAAGUUGAGAGAAGACUUCUUACAAUAUUGGUGAAGAACAAGGUGAUCUUUUCUUCUUCUGAAAGUAAUUAUUGAUACAGAAGUACAAUAUUUGUUCCCCUUUUGCUGUUUUGCACUCUGGAGCAAAAUAUAUGGGGGGAGUCCUCAUGAGCAUUUUCUACUUUCUAAGAUUUGGGCGAAUGUAAAAGCAAAGAAUCAAAGAUGUUCAUCUAUCUGAACGUCACCUUACUUUGAUGCUCUGAUCUCAAGGAAGUAUUGUGCAUUGGUGGUGGUCUGCUAUCAAAACCAAAGUGGCAUGCAUGUAGAAAUAGGUAUCGAGAAUAUUAUUCCUCCCCUGCAAAUGUACCAACAUCUAGAUUUACCAACAUGUCUAUUUAUUAACCAAUUGUUUGAACAAUUUUCCCAAAUUACAACAAUGCAUAUGUGUUUGUGUCUAUCCGACAUUACAUUACCUACAUGAACUUCAAUUUAAUUUAUGCUCCAGAUUUCGAAUGGAUUGCCCUUGUUGUAUAAAUUGCUUUCAUUUCAGUGCAUCUGCUGGGAUAUGUACAACAAUCGAGCGAACAUUGAGCCAACCAUUGACACAUAAAGCAUCUUUUGUGUGCAUCGGCCGGUGUUUGUGUUGCUUCUGAAUUUUUUUCAUGUGUGCAUCUUUUGUCUAUAUAAAUUGUAAAGCACGUGUAGGUGUUUGGUCCAUCUUUCCAUACGAACUUCUUUCAUAUAAGAAUCAUGGUCUAUGUAAACUACAUAAGCCGAUGUCUGGUAUUUCAUGGGAUCCAAAACUGAAUGCAAGUGUAUGUUCUGUU